Long non-coding RNA from Lytechinus variegatus (green sea urchin), 387 nucleotides. RefSeq lists it as uncharacterized. The transcript has 3 exons. Lineage: Eukaryota; Metazoa; Echinodermata; Echinoidea; Temnopleuroida; Toxopneustidae. The record is from RefSeq and is a predicted model, not a curated record.
UUUUUUUAAAGAUUAUUUUGUGUUUUUGCUGCUUAUUGUUGUCAAAUGUUCGUCUAGUAACUUCGGAAAACUGCCCCGACCCGCCGAUUCUUGUCAACGGGCAUACUACAACUAGCGAUGGGGUGUACGCGGUCUACGAGUGUGAUGCAGGAUAUGAGAUGGACAUCGAGCAGGAUACAGUUGUCUUGGUAUGUGACACAUCGCAGGGCACAUGGAACAAAAACUUGCCCAACUGUGAUCUUGUCCAAUGCCCUGAGCCAGCUGUGCCAAACUUCGGUCAAGUUGAAGGAUCUGGACGUUCUUUUGGUGACAAUCCCGACCUUUCGUUUGAGGACGCAGAUGCUUAUUUACGACGGUAGUUGACUUUGGAAGGGACUUUUUUGGCCC